AUACGUAGGGUGCGAGCGUUGUCCGGAAUUACUGGGCGAAAAGAGCUCGUAGGUGGUUUGUCGCGUCGUCUGUGAAAUUCCGGGGCUAAACUCCGGGCGUGCAGGCGAUACGGGCAUAACUUGAGUACUGUAGGGGAGACUGGAUUUCCUGGUGUAGCGGUGAAAUGCGCAGAUAUCAGGAGGAACACCGGUGGCGAAGGCGGGUCUCUGGGCAGUAACUGACGCUGAGGAGCGAAAGCAUGGGUAGCGAACAGGAUUAGAUACCCUGGUAGUCCAUGCCGUAAACGGUGGGCGCUAGGUGUAGGGGUCUUCCACGUCUUCUGUGCCGUAGCUAACGCAUUAAGCGCCCCGCCUGGGGAGUACGGCCGCAAGGCUAAAACUCAAAGGAAUUGACGGGG
RNAcentral lists this ribosomal RNA (398 nucleotides) under uncultured bacterium. RNAcentral's name for it is "partial 16S ribosomal RNA". It matches the Rfam family "Bacterial small subunit ribosomal RNA", at positions 523 to 918 of the family's 1533-position model. The record is from RNAcentral.